RNAcentral lists this ribosomal RNA (636 nucleotides) under Reyranella sp. RNAcentral describes it as "bacterial SSU rRNA". It matches the Rfam family "Bacterial small subunit ribosomal RNA", at positions 74 to 752 of the family's 1533-position model. The record is from RNAcentral. Lineage: Bacteria; Pseudomonadati; Pseudomonadota; Alphaproteobacteria; Hyphomicrobiales; Reyranellaceae.
GUGUAGCAAUACACGAGUGGCGCACGGGUGAGUAACACGUGGAUAUCUGCCUUUUGGUUCGGAAUAACCCUGGGAAACUAGGGCUAAUACCGGAUGGUUCCUACGGGAUAAAGAUUUAUCGCCAAAAGAUGAGUCCGCGUCCGAUUAGCUAGUUGGUGAGGUAAUGGCUCACCAAGGCGACGAUCGGUAGCUGGUCUGAGAGGACGAUCAGCCACACUGGGACUGAGACACGGCCCAGACUCCUACGGGAGGCAGCAGUGGGGAAUAUUGGACAAUGGGGGCAACCCUGAUCCAGCCAUGCCGCGUGAGUGAUGAAGGCCUUCGGGUUGUAAAGCUCUUUUGGCGGGGACGAUGAUGACGGUACCCGCAGAAUAAGCCCCGGCUAACUUCGUGCCAGCAGCCGCGGUAAGACGAAGGGGGCUAGCGUUGUUCGGAAUUACUGGGCGUAAAGCGCGUGUAGGCGGUUGCCAUAGUCAGGUGUGAAAGCCUUGAGCUUAACUCAAGAAAUGCACUUGAUACUGGGCGACUAGAGGACCGGAGAGGAUAGUGGAAUUCCCAGUGUAGUGGUGAAAUACGUAGAGAUUGGGAAGAACACCAGUGGCGAAGGCGGCUAUCUGGACGGUACUGACGCUAGAC